This 225-nucleotide ribosomal RNA is filed under the name uncultured bacterium. RNAcentral describes it as "partial 16S rRNA". It matches the Rfam family "Bacterial small subunit ribosomal RNA", at positions 505 to 729 of the family's 1533-position model. The record is from RNAcentral.
GUGUCAGCAGCCGCGGUAAUACGUAGGUGGCAAGCGUUGUCCGGAUUUACUGGGCGUAAAGGGUGCGCAGGCGGACAUUUAAGUUAGAUGUGAAAUCCCCGGGCUUAACCCGGGGGCUGCAUUUCAAACUGGGUGUCUGGAGUGCAGGAGAGGAGAGCAGAAUUCCUAGUGUAGCGGUGAAAUGCGUAGAGAUUAGGAAGAAUACCAGUGGCGAAGGCGGGUCUC